CGGUGUACCACGGUACAGCGUGAACAUAUAAGAAUAUAUAUAUAUAACCUUUUGUAAGGUUAAAAUGGUACACCGUGGAAUAUUUUAAAAUUAUCGCGCUAAAUAUUGUCUGAAGUAGGUUGCAAUCAUAGACGGAUUUUCAUAUUUUUUACUGGGGUGGUGCCAGAAAUUUUAGGGGGGUGAGCCGCGAGCAGGUGACUGAAGCAACACCAGGGCCUUUUUUAAGGAUUUUCCCGUGGGGGGGGGGCAUUUUUUGAAAAGGGACCUUUCCGUGAGAUAAUAUAUUAGAGGGGGAUAGCAAUGGCUGAAGGCCACGUGUGUGGCCAAUAUACCACGCAUGAAUGGGGGGGUCUGGGGUACUCCCCCAGAAAAUUUUUGAAAUUUGAAUCCCGGAAAUGUCAUUUCCUGCAUUCUGAGCAUCCAAAUUUGGUCCAAAAUUUAUGCUAACUAUACUUGUAUUUGAAAUAAAUAAAGAAAAAAACGCACAAAAAGUAAAAAAAAAAUAACCAUCAUUUAUCAUUACUUAUUGAGGAGGAUAACAAUGGUCAGGUGUGUGGGGGUGUAUUCCCCCAGAAAAUUUUUGAAAUUUGAAGCAUGGAAAUGCCAUUUCCUGCAUUCUGAGCAUCCAAAUUUGCUCUAAAAUUUAUGCUAACUAUACUUGUAUUUGAAGUAAAAGAUGGAAAAAAUGCGCAAAAAGUAAAAAAGAAUAUUAACUGUAAUUUAUUGGCUUAUUAGAGGGAUAAUCCCCAGAAAAUUUUUGAAAUUUGAAACCCGGAAAUGCUAUUUCCUGCAUUCUGAGCAUCCAAAAAAUAAAAAAAAUUAUUAACAAUAAUUUAGAAAAAAGUAACAAUUUAAAUCGAUUUUGUUAAACAAGGACAAGGGAUGAAGCCUAAAACUUACUUUCCGUUUAUGUAUUUGUUAAUCUUCGCUGGUUUGUUUGUAUAAUUUUAGGGAAAAGGGACUUUUCCUGGGGGGGCGGCAAAAUGUGAUUUUGUGGGGGGGGGGGCACAAGGGGGGACUCAUUUGCCCCCCCCCCUCCCAGCUUGUGUGUUAAAAAAGGCCCUGAGCAACACAAAGUGUCGCCAAACCCCAGUAAGGUCUAUAUUCUAGGGGUGGAGCACUAGAGCCGCGAGUGGGAGUCUAGAGAGCUGAAAACAAAGUAUCCCUGGAAAAAUUUGAAAAAAAUCAUGAUUUCUAGCUUCGAAAAAACGUUUUUUGAAGUUGUCAUAUCAAUGGACUUGGCCUGUCCGAUUGUCUGUUGAGACUUGAGAGAGUUAAAGUUAAAUGAAGCUGUAAAAGUGUAAAUCCAAUAGGCCAAUACACAAUAUGCUUUUACUUUUAUAAAAUCAUUGACAUUGUGUCGUUUGAAUCCGAGUACAAUUUAUGAUGCAACUCCGAUGUAAAUAAUAUUUGGGACGUAAAGAUUAAAUCUAGGCAAGACUAUUUCCUAAAAGAAUUAAAACUAAAAAUAAUGUUUGUAAAAUUUCCAAACGUUCUUUGCAAGCAAGCUAUUUGCAUGACAAGGCACUGCAAACUCUAUUCAGGGGAGAUAAUAGAAUUUCAAAACUUUACAAUUGGUCCAAUAAACCAGUGAAUGCAAGCGAGGAGCAAUUAGUUUCAGAGUAUUGCGUCUUUUUCUAUUUGAGUGUACUCCUACGUUUAUUUUGUAUCAUCAACACUCUGCACGUUGGAGUGGACUAUUUAAUUAUUUCAGUUUAUUAUGCCGAAUAUUGGGGGGGUUGAAAAUUUUUUUGGAGGGGUGGACAUUUUGUUUGGGGGGGUUAUAGCUAAUAUUGGGGGGGUAGCACCCCCCUGCACCCCCCCACAAAAUCCGUCUAUGGUUGCAAUACUAAGCAACACACGUUCUUUCAAGUUCAUUUCAUUGGUUUGUAUUACCCUUGUAACUGGGGAUAUUAUCACAGUCUUAG
RNAcentral lists this long non-coding RNA (1928 nucleotides) under Paramuricea clavata. The record is from RNAcentral. Lineage: Eukaryota; Metazoa; Cnidaria; Anthozoa; Malacalcyonacea; Plexauridae.